AAGUCGUAACAAGGUUUCCGUAGGUGAACCUGCGGAAGGAUCAUUAUAGAGGUUUAUCCUUUUCUGUGAACUUAUUAUCUGGUGUGUAUGUCUGUGAGAACGAGUGCGGAGCACGAGUUGAUAUCAAUUGUGAAAGCAAUGAGUCGAACCAUUUGUUCAACACACAGUAUACAUAUGCACCAAACACUUUAUAUCAAUUUUUGUCUGAAGAAAAGAAAUGAAAA
RNAcentral lists this unclassified non-coding RNA (224 nucleotides) under plant metagenome. Its description in RNAcentral is "partial contains small subunit ribosomal RNA and internal transcribed spacer 1". The stretch from base 1 to 46 matches the Rfam family "Eukaryotic small subunit ribosomal RNA", at positions 1786 to 1831 of the family's 1831-position model. The record is from RNAcentral.